GGCUUAACACAUGCAAGUCGAACGCCCCGCAAGGGGAGUGGCAGACGGGUGAGUAACGCGUGGGAAUCUACCUAUCUCUACGGAAUAACCCAGGGAAACUUGGACUAAUACCGUAUACGCCCUUCGGGGGAAAGAUUUAUCGGGGAUAGAUGAGCCCGCGUUGGAUUAGCUAGUUGGUGGGGUAAAGGCCUACCAAGGCGACGAUCCAUAGCUGGUCUGAGAGGAUGAUCAGCCACAUUGGGACUGAGACACGGCCCAAACUCCUACGGGAGGCAGCAGUGGGGAAUAUUGGACAAUGGGCGCAAGCCUGAUCCAGCCAUGCCGCGUGAGUGAUGAAGGCCCUAGGGUUGUAAAGCUCUUUCAACGGUGAAGAUAAUGACGG
RNAcentral lists this ribosomal RNA (382 nucleotides) under grassland soil clone saf1_117. RNAcentral describes it as "bacterial SSU rRNA". It matches the Rfam family "Bacterial small subunit ribosomal RNA", at positions 45 to 457 of the family's 1533-position model. The record is from RNAcentral.